ACGAACGCUGGCGGCAUGCCUAACACAUGCCAGUCGAACGAGACCUUCGGGUCUAGUGGCGCACGGGUGCGUAACGCGUGGGAACCUGCCCUUAGGUUCGGAAUAACUCCCUGAAAGGGGUGCUAAUACCGGAUAAUGUCUUCGGACCAAAGAUUUAUCGCCUUUGGAUGGGCCCGCGUUGGAUUAGCUAGUUGGUAGGGUAAAAGCCUACCAAGGCGACGAUCCAUAGCUGGUCUGAGAGGAUGAUCAGCCACACUGGGACUGAGACACGGCCCAGACUCCUACGGGAGGCAGCAGUGGGGAAUAUUGGACAAUGGGCGAAAGCCUGAUCCAGCAAUGCCGCGUGAGUGAUGAAGGCCUUAGGGUUGUAAAGCUCUUUUACCCGGGAUGAUAAUGACAGUACCGGGAGAAUAAGCGCCGGCUAACUCCGUG
RNAcentral lists this ribosomal RNA (432 nucleotides) under uncultured bacterium. RNAcentral's name for it is "partial 16S ribosomal RNA". It matches the Rfam family "Bacterial small subunit ribosomal RNA", at positions 29 to 507 of the family's 1533-position model. The record is from RNAcentral.